RNAcentral lists this transfer RNA (84 nucleotides) under Butyrivibrio sp. Its description in RNAcentral is "tRNA-Ser". It matches the Rfam family "tRNA". Rfam says of the family: Transfer RNA (tRNA) molecules are approximately 80 nucleotides in length. Their secondary structure includes four short double-helical elements and three loops (D, anti-codon, and T loops). Further hydrogen bonds mediate the characteristic L-shaped molecular structure. tRNAs have two regions of fundamental functional importance: the anti-codon, which is responsible for specific mRNA codon recognition, and the 3' end, to which the tRNAs corresponding amino acid is attached (by aminoacyl-tRNA synthetases). tRNAs cope with the degeneracy of the genetic code in two manners: having more than one tRNA (with a specific anti-codon) for a particular amino acid; and 'wobble' base-pairing, i.e. permitting non-standard base-pairing at the 3rd anti-codon position. Lineage: Bacteria; Bacillati; Bacillota; Clostridia; Lachnospirales; Lachnospiraceae. The record is from RNAcentral.
GCAGAGUUGGCUCAAUUGGUACAGCAGCGGUCUUGAAAACCGCCAUCCUGAAAGGGUAUCUGGGUUCGAGUCCCAGACUCUGCG